This 391-nucleotide ribosomal RNA is filed under the name Ensifer meliloti. RNAcentral's name for it is "Sinorhizobium meliloti bacterial SSU rRNA". It matches the Rfam family "Bacterial small subunit ribosomal RNA", at positions 21 to 442 of the family's 1533-position model. Lineage: Bacteria; Pseudomonadati; Pseudomonadota; Alphaproteobacteria; Hyphomicrobiales; Rhizobiaceae. The record is from RNAcentral.
GGCUCAGAACGAACGCUGGCGGCAGGCUUAACACAUGCAAGUCGAGCGCCCCGCAAGGGGAGCGGCAGACGGGUGAGUAACGCGUGGGAAUCUACCCUUUUCUACGGAAUAACGCAGGGAAACUUGUGCUAAUACCGUAUGAGCCCUUCGGGGGAAAGAUUUAUCGGGAAAGGAUGAGYCCGCGUUGGAUUAGCUAGUUGGUGGGGUAAAGGCCUACCAAGGCGACGAUCCAUAGCUGGUCUGAGAGGAUGAUCAGCCACAUUGGGACUGAGACACGGCCCAAACUCCUACGGGAGGCAGCAGUGGGGAAUAUUGGACAAUGGGCGCAAGCCUGAUCCAGCCAUGCCGCGUGAGUGAUGAAGGCCCUAGGGUUGUAAAGCUCUUUCACCGG